This 253-nucleotide ribosomal RNA is filed under the name uncultured bacterium. RNAcentral describes it as "partial 16S ribosomal RNA". It matches the Rfam family "Bacterial small subunit ribosomal RNA", at positions 524 to 776 of the family's 1533-position model. The record is from RNAcentral.
UACAGAGGGUGCGAGCGUUAAUCGGAAUUACUGGGCGUAAAGCGUGCGCAGGCAGUUUUGUAAGCCAGAUGUGAAAUCCCCGGGCUCAACCUGGGAAUGGCAUUUGGGACUGCAAGGCUUGAGUGCGGCAGAGGAGACUGGAAUUCCUGGUGUAGCAGUGAAAUGCGUAGAUAUCAGGAGGAAUACCGAUGGCGAAGGCAGGUCUCUGGGCUGACACUGACGCUCAUGCACGAAAGCGUGGGGAGCAAACAGG